Molecule: ribosomal RNA, 164 nt
Filed under: uncultured bacterium
Lineage: Bacteria
Description: partial 16S ribosomal RNA
Rfam family: Bacterial small subunit ribosomal RNA
Source: RNAcentral
UAGGGAAUCUUCCACAAUGGGCGCAAGCCUGAUGGAGCAACACCGCGUGAGUGAAGAAGGGUUUCGGCUCGUAAAGCUCUGUUGUUAAAGAAGGACACGUAUGAGAGUAACUGUUCAUACGUUGACGGUAUUUAACCAGAAAGUCACGGCUAACUACGUGUCAG